This 63-nucleotide transfer RNA is filed under the name Pedionis papillata. RNAcentral describes it as "tRNA-His". Lineage: Eukaryota; Metazoa; Arthropoda; Insecta; Hemiptera; Cicadellidae. The record is from RNAcentral.
AAUUUAAGUAGUUUAUUAAAAAUAUAGAAUUGUGGAUUCUAAGAGGCUUUUAGUCUUAAGUUU